This 1574-nucleotide long non-coding RNA is filed under the name Piliocolobus tephrosceles (Ugandan red Colobus). Its description in RNAcentral is "lncRNA (ENSPTEG00000014467.1)". The record is from RNAcentral. Lineage: Eukaryota; Metazoa; Chordata; Mammalia; Primates; Cercopithecidae.
AAAAAAAAAAAAAAAAAAAAAAAAAUAGAAUAAAAAUAAAAAUAAAAUAAAAAUGUGGAUAAAACAUAAUGAAAUAAAAUAAAUAGAACGCAGUAUAAUAAAACAGAACGAAAUUUGUUUUUUUUUAAUUACCAAUUUCAUAGAAAAAAAAAAAAAAAAUGGAAUGUUUUACAAUCUUUUUUUGUUUUUUUUUGUAUGUUAAUUUUUAAAUGUGUUCAAGUUUGCUUUCUUAUUUUUUAUUUUUCAUUUUUUUUUUUUGUUAAUAAAUUUGUUAUUAAACGAAGGUUUGUAGUCUGUAUGCACACAUACGUACGUACGUGCAUACUUACAUGCUAUAUGCAACAUAAAUAUAUAUAUAUAUAUAUUUACGUACGGUUACAUUUCUCUCCGUUUUUGUGUGUACUCAUGUUAAACCUUACGUUUUGACAACAUAUUUGUUUUUAGUUAGUAAAACGUAUCUUCAUGAGUGAAUCCAUAAUUGUUUUAUACCACUCAUAAUUUUUUAAAAGUAUGAAACAAAAAUAAUUGUAUAUAUAUAUAUAUAUAUGUAUGUAUUAAAUAAAAUGAAAUUAUUCCUGAUGCUUCUUUUCAUAAUUUUUUUAAAAAAUAUACAAUGUGAUAUUAAAGAAUUAAGUUCUCAUGAAUUUUUUAAUAUGUUAACGACAGGAAAAAACUAUAAAAAAAAAAAAUCAAAAUUUAAAUAAUAUUUUAGAUUUUAAAAGCAUAAAUGACUUACAAGAAAAUGCACAUAUAAAGACAACCAAAGACUUUGUUCUUUAUGUGUAUGCAAAAUGGGAUAACGAUUCGAAUAAUUUAAUAGCCGUUUUUAGAGAAGUAGAAAAAAUAAUAAAAGAAAAGAACUUAAAGUUAGAUUUUUAUAUAUUUAACAUAGAAAAUGCUAAAGAUUUAUGUAAUGCAUUAAACAUCACGUCACUCCCCUUGAUACUAUAUAUCUCUUCGGGGCAUAAAAAAAAAAAAAAUUCAUUAUUUCAGAGGAUUUUUAGUUCCAGUAAAGAUGUGAAAAUAAACAAUGCCUUUAGAUACAAUGGAGACUUGUAUUGCUAUGAUUACAUAGUAGAAUGGAUAGAAAUACAUUACCACUUUGCAAAAACAGUUUUACUAAUGAAAAACAUAUUUAAAAAAAAAAAAAAAAUAACACAUGCACAUAUAUAAUGUUAUUUUUAUUUUACUAUUUACAAUAGAAUGAUUUUUUUUUAAACGAACUGAUUAACAAAAUGUAAGGAACUGUUUUUUAAUAAUUAUAAAAGUUUUGAAUGAAAAUGUAAAAUGUUUUUUUUUUCUUAUUUAAAUCUUAAUGAAUAAUUAUUAUUUUUUAAAUGAAACAUAACAUUUUACUUCAGCUUUUUUUUUUUUUAAAUCUAUAUAAAUACAUUUAUGUUAUAUAUUUAUAUAAGUUCCUAUUGGCGUAUACACCCAUUCAUAUAUGUUGUCUAUAUUUUUUUAUACACACAUAUAUAUAUGUAUAUAUAAACUUUUAAGUUUAAUGUAAGUAAAAAUAAGAUUUUUAAUUUAAUCUAAAUAAAAAUAUAUAUAUAUUUUUUUUUUAUAAAAAU